CCCGCCGCGCUCACCGCCCGCCCCUCCCGCGGCUCGGCCGCACAGGCUCCUCCAGGCGCUCUCGCCCUGGGCUGUUUAUUCCGGCGGCAGCGGUGACCCAGGUGGCUGCGGGAGCUGAAGGCUGAGCCCCUUCUCUCGCCUGAUUUCUGUACAUUUCGUUUUUCUCACACACGCCGAGGGAGCCGCGGCGCAGGACGCAGGAUGCAGCCCGGCUGCGGCGAGUGCUGAGCGCGGUGGCCGCCGGAGGAGGGAGCGGCUCUGUCAGCGCCUCCGCUCCGCGCGGCGGCGGCUCGGGCGGUCCCUCGCCCCCUUCCUUCGCCGUGGCCACCCGCCCCAAACUUUCAGCCUGUUGUCGCUGCCAGGCGAAGCCCAGCUCGACAUAAAUGGUGGAGGCGAUAGUGGAGUUUGACUACAAAGCUCAACACGAUGAUGAGCUGACAAUCACUGUAGGUGACAUAAUCACCAAUAUCAAGAAAGAUGAUGGAGGCUGGUGGGAAGGACAGCUCAAAGGCAGAAGAGGUUUGUUCCCUGACAACUUUGUAAGAGAAAUAAAGAAAGACAUGAAGAAAGAAAAUACUGCCAACAAACCACCAGAGAAGCCUAUAAAUGAAGUUUCCAAUGGAAGCCCUUUACUGUUGUCUGAGACAAUUAUUAGAACCAACAAAAAAGGAGAGAGAAACAGAAGAAGGAGAUGUCAGGUGGCUUUCAGUUACAUGCCUCAAAAUGAAGAUGAAUUGGAAUUAAAAGUUGGUGACAUCAUUGAAGUUGUGGGAGAGGUGGAAGAGGGCUGGUGGGAAGGUAUACUUAAUGGAAAGACUGGCAUGUUUCCUUCCAACUUCAUAAAGGAGCUCUCUGAUUCUGAUGAAGUUGGAAUAGCACAGGAAGAGCAAGUAAAGUCAAGAAAAUCUGCCUUUGAAGGGACAAUUCUGUACAGAGUGGCACCGGCAAAGAUUGACAGCUACAGACGUUAUAACAGCCUAAAAGAUGCUACAGGCUCUGAGAGUGAUGGUGGUGACUCUUGCAGUACAAAAUCAGAAGGAGCCAACGGAGGCACGACAAUCCAACCCAAAAAGGUCAAAGGUGUUGGCUUUGGAGACAUCUUCAAAGACAAACCCAUAAAGCUACGACCAAGGUCAAUAGAAGUUGAAAAUGACUUCCUCCCAGUAGAUAAGAGUGUUGGGAAGAAAUUACCUCCAGCCACAGCAACUCAGGAGCCAACAAAAAUAGAAGUGGACAGCAGAACAAAAAACAAGGAGUAUUGCAAAGUGAUAUUUCCGUAUGAAGCACAGAACGACGAUGAACUCACAAUCCGGGAAGGUGAUGUUGUCACACUUAUCAGUAAGGAUUGCAUUGAUGUGGGUUGGUGGGAAGGAGAACUCAAUGGCAGACGAGGUGUCUUUCCAGAUAACUUUGUCAAGCUACUCCCUUCAGAUUUUGAAAAAGAGAGACCGAAGAAACCACCACCUCCAUCAGCGCCUGUCAUCAAACAAGGAUCAGGGACCACAGAUCGAAAGCAUGAAAUCAAGAAGAUACCACCUGAAAGGCCAGAAUGUCUUCCUAAUCGAACAGAAGAAAAAGAAAGAUCAGAGAGAGAGCAAAAACAGUUAGACUUGCAGAAGCCUUCAGUUCCUGCUAUACCUCCGAAGAAACCUCGGCCACCCAAAGCCAACGCUGUGAACAGACCUGGCACCUUGCCCCCAAGACGACCAGAAAGACCAGUUGUGCCUGUGACUCAUGCAAGGAGUGAUAGUCCAAAAGUGGAAUUAGUGGGCAGUACAGUAUCCGGCACUCUAGAGAAAGACUCCUCUGAAAGAAGCAAUGACAUCGACUUGGAAGGUUUUGAUUCUGUAAUACCAAUUGCUGAGAAGCUUAAUCAUCCAACUACAACCAGACCAAAAGCUACUGGCAGGCGACCACCCUCCCAGUCUCUCACAUCUUCAUCCCUUUCGAGCCCUGAUUUCUUUGACUCACCAAGUCCUGAAGAUGAGAAGGAAGAACAUGUUUCCAUUACUCACAAAACUCUUGACGUGUCAAGGAAAUCAAGAACUGUUACAAUAUCACAAGUGUCUGAUAACAAAACUUCCUUGCCUCCAAAACCAGGAGGUCUGGCUAGUGGCAGUAAUGUACAACCAUCACUAUCCCCUUCACCAUCACCUGGAUUUCACUCAAUUGCUAUGGGAACAACAGGCCACAGGUCAAAUUCCCCAUCCCUGUUUGGUACUGAAGGAAAGCCAAAGACUGAGCACUUGAGCCAAGGUCAGACUGCCCUGGAAGAGCUGAGAACACAAAUUAGGGAGCUAAGAACCAUCAUUGAAACCAUGAAAGACCAGCAAAACCCAGGCAGGAAAAAGAAAAGGGCAAGCAGCGUGCAGAGCCUGUGGCGGAACAGAGGUGUGCGGAGUUUGGGAGAAGAUGCGGGAGGGCAUGGUUCAAGCUGGAUGUAGCCAGCAAGCCCCACGGCCUCGCCUCUUAGGCUGACCCUGCUCCUCUGGUCUCCCCGGCCCUUCUUGCAAGGGCAGCUUCCACCUACUGGUAUCUGUCCUAAGAAAAGAGAUUAAACAGUUGCUCUCUGAGUUGGAUGAAGAGAAGAAGAUCCGUCUACGAUUGCAGAUGGAAGUUAAUGACAUAAAGAAAGCUCUUCAAUCAAAGUGAAUACUUGAUAGGUGGAAUGUUGCAUUAUUCUUCAUGACUGAGACUCAAAUUUAUGCCCCAGCCAAAAUAACUUUGUGCCAAAUGAUUUAUGAAUUGCCUCAACAUCCCUUUGUUUGAAGGAUUAGCACAACAGUUUUUGAUAGCACAACAAAAAUACCAACGAGAACAAAAUUUCUACCCAAAGCCGUGCUGUACGGCACUAGUUGUGACUGAAAUUGAUCUUCUUGUGCUAAAGGCUCUCUACUUCAAGAUCCUAGGUGAAAUGAAAACUCAGGCAGUUUAGUCCAUAGUGGUACUAUUUUGAUGAUAUUUUUCCAUAAAUAAAGUGUAUUUCAGAUUAUCUGUUUACAAGCUUUAUGAUUUUGACUUUUGGUUUUUAAUUGUCUUUUGUCACAGAUUUUAAGAUGUUUGUACUUCAUAUAGCCAGGAAUGAAUGUUAAUGUUGGGGCUGAAGGGAUUAUUUUUGCUUUGAGAUUGAACAGUCUACUUUUCAUUAUGGUUUUAAGUUUUGUUAAAUAUGCAAUUUUUUGUCCCCAAAUCCCCUACAACUUAAACUUACAUUGUGUACAGUAAUGUAUUUACACAAAGGAAACAAACCAACAGAAGUCUGGUCUUUGCAAUGAUUUGUGCCUUUCUUUGCCACACACUGACUGGAGCCGGUUGAGGCCAGGUCUCCCUAUGUAGCUACCACGACGACUCCUGUCCCCGGUGUCCUCCUGUCCCCGGUGUCCGGCGGAGGUCACCUCCCCAGGGCUCAGCUGCUCGGUCAGGAGAGCGUGUUUGUGCCAGCUGGCAGAACAAAAGGGCACAGCUGAGAGCAGCUCUGUCCUCAGCAGCUGUGGCUUUUUAGCUUUCCUGGUUUGGAUAGGCCUCUCCCUCAACCUGAAUGUUCAUCUCCGCUUGAUUUUCAUUAGAUGAUUUAAACACCGACCUCUGUCCCCAAUUUUGCACAGAGUGAACAGAAUAUGCAUUAUUAAAGCAAAAAUAAAUAAAAGUAAUCUAUAAAACAUGAA
RNA transcript from Taeniopygia guttata (zebra finch), 3665 nucleotides. It is a transcript of the gene named SH3 domain containing kinase binding protein 1, with no coding region annotated. The record is from RefSeq and is a predicted model, not a curated record. Lineage: Eukaryota; Metazoa; Chordata; Aves; Passeriformes; Estrildidae.